RNAcentral lists this ribosomal RNA (78 nucleotides) under Citrobacter freundii. RNAcentral also lists the same sequence under 33 other names. The record is from RNAcentral. Lineage: Bacteria; Pseudomonadati; Pseudomonadota; Gammaproteobacteria; Enterobacterales; Enterobacteriaceae.
GCCGAACUCAGAAGUGAAACGCCGUAGCGCCGAUGGUAGUGUGGGGUCUCCCCAUGCGAGAGUAGGGAACUGCCAGGC